AUUGAACGCUGGCGGCAGGCCUAACACAUGCAAGUCGAACGGUAACAGGGAUCAGCUUGCUGAUUCGCUGACGAGUGGCGGACGGGUGAGUAAUGUCUGGGAAACUGCCUGAUGGAGGGGGAUAACUACUGGAAACGGUAGCUAAUACCGCAUAACGUCGCAAGACCAAAGAGGGGGACCUUCUGGCCUCUUGCCAUCGGAUGUGCCCAGAUGGGAUUAGCUAGUAGGUGGGGUAACGGCUCACCUAGGCGACGAGCCCUAGCUGGUCUGAGAGGAUGACCAGCCACACUGGAACUGAGACACGGUCCAGACUCCUACGGGAGGCAGCAGUGGGGAAUAUUGCACAAUGGGCGCAAGCCUGAUGCAGCCAUGCCGCGUGUAUGAAGAAGGCCUUCGGGUUGUAAAGUACUUUCAGCGGGGAGGAAGGGAGUAAAGUUAAUACCUUUGCUCAUUGACGUUACCCGCAGAAGAAGCACCGGCUAACUCCGUG
Molecule: ribosomal RNA, 490 nt
Filed under: uncultured bacterium
Lineage: Bacteria
Description: partial 16S ribosomal RNA
Rfam family: Bacterial small subunit ribosomal RNA
Source: RNAcentral